GUUAAAAAAAAAAAAAAGUUAAAAAAAAACUGAGAAAAAAAAAGAAACCAACAACUCUCAAGUACAGAUCAGGUAGAUUUUUUUUUUUUAAUGCGAAACUUUUGCAAACAAUCGAGAGUCAACGUCCAAUAGAAAAAGGUAUCUUGCUUGAAUUCCUUUAAAAAGAAAAUGCAAGUCUUUCCAAAAGUGGAAAUAUUAACACACGAUGGGCAGGGGGAACCCUAACUUUGGGGAGUAAGAAAAAGUUUUCUUGGAGCGACGAGAUGGGGGGAAAAAAAGAGGCGAGUGGCUAUUAGGCAGGAAUAAAUUUAAGAGGAAACGGAGUUCAGUGUGUCAGUUUCGGGUGCGGAGUGGCGGAUCUGAACUCGGCUCCUCCGGCCAAAAGGGAAGAGAUGAAAAGGUCCCGGGGCUGGCAGCUGGCGAGCUGGCGGGAGGGGCGCCGGGAGCGCUGUGCGGGGGGCCGCCGAGGCUGGCCGGGCGGUAAUUUAGGUAUUUAAAGAAGGAGCGGUUCGGCCCUGCCUUCCACUGCGGCGCUGAGAGCGGGAGCAGCCGCGGCUCCGGAGCGGAGAGCGCACACGUGUGUGAGUGUGUGAGUGUGUGAGUGUGUGAGCGGGUGUGUGAGCGCGCGCGCGCGUGUGCGCGCUCUGGGGGCGAGCCCGGCGCGCCGCGGGGAGGCGGGUGCGCUCCGCACGGCGCUCGGGACUCGGUCGGGUCCUGCGCGGGCCGCGGCGGCGGCGGCGGCAGAGGCGGCGACGAUCCUGCUCCCGGAGCUGCUGCGCGCGGUGGCCAACACCCCGGCCGGCGCGCGCCAACCCGCCCGGCUACUCCACGUCGUGCCGCCGCUAGCAGACGCGUCCAGCCUCCACCUCCCUCCUUCUCCUGCUCCUCCUUCUGCUCUCGCUCCAGACGCCAACCCGGCAACAGACGACCGGCUGCCGCCGUUGCCUUCAGCCCCGGGGACGCGCUACCUAGGGAGUGUUAUUCCUGAGGGGGCUGCGAGGGGGUCCCUUGGACUCCCACCCUUUCCCACCCUUUCCUGGUUUCUCUCCCACUCGGAUUUCUCGCGGCGAGUAGAUCAGAGAGGCAGAGGGUGCGGCCGUUUCAACCACUAG
This 1112-nucleotide long non-coding RNA is filed under the name Zalophus californianus (California sea lion). RNAcentral describes it as "lncRNA (ENSZCAG00015021152.1)". The record is from RNAcentral. Lineage: Eukaryota; Metazoa; Chordata; Mammalia; Carnivora; Otariidae.